UAGAACUACGGGCCAGUGUGCGAGGGAAGACGUAGAGUGGAAGGGGUGACCGGAAUCACUGGGGGGAAAGGUUGAGGAGGCGGGAAGGUAAGUUAGGAGUGAAAUCUUGCGGCUUAACCGUAAAAGUGCUUCUAAUACUGCUUUUCUUGAGUACGGAAGAGAAUGAUGGAAUUCCUGGUGUAGCGGUGAAAUGCGUAGAUAUCAGGAAGAACACCAGUGGCGAAGGCGGUCAUUUGGUCCGUUACUGACGCUCAGGCACUAAAGCGUGGGGAUCAAACAGGAUUAGAUACCCGGGUAGUC
Molecule: ribosomal RNA, 300 nt
Filed under: uncultured Glaciecola sp.
Lineage: Bacteria; Pseudomonadati; Pseudomonadota; Gammaproteobacteria; Alteromonadales; Alteromonadaceae
Description: bacterial SSU rRNA
Rfam family: Bacterial small subunit ribosomal RNA
Source: RNAcentral